AUACCUUUCUCGGUCUUUUGGCUAAAAUCAAGUGUUAUAUCUGCUCUUAUCAGUUUAAUAUCUAAUACAUGGACCAAUGGCUCACACGAUAUUAAAUUUAUAUUUUGAGGGGUAGAGUCCAUCACAGUAGCAUGCUGCUGGGGCUCUCGAGUGUCGCCUUGGUGUUCACUACUAUCUUGACCAGGCGCACCCCAC
Small nuclear RNA from Cornus florida, 195 nucleotides. RefSeq annotates it as U2 spliceosomal RNA. The transcript has a single exon. The record is from RefSeq and is a predicted model, not a curated record. NCBI's taxonomy places the organism in Eukaryota, Viridiplantae, Streptophyta, Magnoliopsida, Cornales, Cornaceae.